GAUCCUCCCACCCUUUGUGUACCUACCUCUGUUGCUUUGGCGGGCCGCGGUUCUCCGCGGCCGCCCCCCUUCCCGGGGGGUGGCCAGCGCCCGCCAGAGGACCAUCAAACUCCAGUCAGUAAACGAUGCAGUCUGAAAAACAUUUAAUAAACUAAAACUUUCAACAACGGAUCUCUUGGUUCUGGCAUCGAUGAAGAACGCAGCGAAAUGCGAUAAGUAAUGUGAAUUGCAGAAUUCAGUGAAUCAUCGAAUCUUUGAACGCACAUUGCGCCCUUUGGUAUUCCGAAGGGCAUGCCUGUUCGAGCGUCAUUACAACCCUCAAGCUCUGCUUGGUAUUGGGCACCGUCCUUUGCGGGCGCGCCUCAAAGACCUCGGCGGUGGCGUCUUGCCUCAAGCGUAGUAGAACAUACAUCUCGCUUCGGAGCGCAGGGCGUCGCCCGCCGGACGAACCUUCUGAACUUUUCUCAAGGUUGACCUCGGAUCAGGUAGGGUUCCCGGUUGAACUUAAGCAUAUCAAUAA
Molecule: ribosomal RNA, 520 nt
Filed under: Botryosphaeria dothidea
Lineage: Eukaryota; Fungi; Ascomycota; Dothideomycetes; Botryosphaeriales; Botryosphaeriaceae
Description: eukaryotic LSU rRNA
Rfam family: 5.8S ribosomal RNA (bases 156-309)
Source: RNAcentral